GAUGAACGCUGGCUACAGGCUUAACACGUGCAAGUCGAGGGGAAACGACGGGGAAGCUUGCUUCCCCGGGCGUCGACCGGCGCACGGGUGAGUAACGCGUAUCCAACCUGCCUCUGACUGAGGGAUAACCCGUCGAAAGUCGGCCUAAUACCUCAUGGUAUCGUCUGCGGGCAUCCAACGACGAUUAAAGAUUUCAUCGGUCAGGGAUGGGGAUGCGUCUGAUUAGCUUGUUGGCGGGGUAACGGCCCACCAAGGCUACGAUCAGUAGGGGUUCUGAGAGGAAGGUCCCCCACAUUGGAACUGAGACACGGUCCAAACUCCUACGGGAGGCAGCAGUGAGGAAUAUUGGUCAAUGGGCGAGAGCCUGAACCAGCCAAGUGGCGUGCAGGAAGACGGCCCUAUGGGUUGUAAACUGCUUUUAUGCGGGGAUAAAGUGAGGGACGUGUCCCUCAUUGCAGGUACCGCAUGAAUAAGGACCGGCUAAUUCCGUGCCAGCAGCCGCGGUAAUACGGAAGGUCCUGGCGUUAUCCGGAUUUAUUGGGUUUAAAGGGAGCGUAGGCCGUGGAUUAAGCGUAUUGUGAAAUGCAGGUGCUCAACGUCUGCACUGCAGCGCGAACUGGUCCACUUGAGUGUGCGCAACGCAGGCGGAAUUCGUCGUGUAGCGGUGAAAUGCUUAGAUAUGACGAAGAACUCCGAUUGCGAAGGCAGCUUGCGGGAGCACAACUGACGCUGAAGCUCGAAAGUGCGGGUAUCGAACAGG
This 760-nucleotide ribosomal RNA is filed under the name uncultured Prevotella sp. Its description in RNAcentral is "bacterial SSU rRNA". It matches the Rfam family "Bacterial small subunit ribosomal RNA", at positions 28 to 776 of the family's 1533-position model. Lineage: Bacteria; Pseudomonadati; Bacteroidota; Bacteroidia; Bacteroidales; Prevotellaceae. The record is from RNAcentral.